This 875-nucleotide long non-coding RNA is filed under the name Mytilus galloprovincialis (Mediterranean mussel). The record is from RNAcentral. Lineage: Eukaryota; Metazoa; Mollusca; Bivalvia; Mytilida; Mytilidae.
GUUAUAUUAUGUUUCUGUUUUACCUUUUAAUGCAUCCUAUGUAGUUGAAUUAUCUACAGAUAGUACUCAUAAUUUAUAUAGACAUGAUAGAGGUUUAAACAAAAUGACAUUAUCCAAAGUAAGUGAAAUUUUAACAUACAAGGCGCAAAAUGAAAGCUACAAUUUGACAGCUUCCAGAAGUAAAUGUUCAAGACCGAUAAUACUUAACUGGUGAAUACUAAAUUUUAUAAAUCCUAUCUCGUUAUACAUGUUAUUGUUUAAAUAAAUUGUCUUUGUAACAAUGGUUCCAGGGAUUGGACAUACGAAAUAACAUUAUUAUAAUUAAGGACCGUCCUCAUCAUGAUAUACAGGUUAUAGAAAUAUAACCACAUACAGCAUUAGGGCUAAUUAACUCAAAAAAAUACAAGGUAUUAAAAACAAGUGUGCAGUAGUCAAAACUCACACGUUUCACUUGACUAAUUAACAGAUUUAUACUAGCAUAUAAAAAUGUUGAUGCAAUUGACUUAUUGCUUGUGAUUAAAAUACAGAUCGUGUGCCCAAACCUUGUUUACAUUGUACAAUGUAAAAGCUAUGCUUUACUGUUUGUUGUCGUAAUCAAUACACAGCCUAACGAAUUAGCAGCUUAGGUGAGUAUCAAUCUGGAAAAAAACUCAGAGUAACCCGAUAGGUCUUCAACAAAGUGAGUCGCAAUGGUCGCUUUGAGAGUUUUUAAAUCAAAGCCAGAAAUUUAGAACAAUAAAUGUUAACAAAUCUUAUAUUUAAAUUAAAUUUGAAGACUGACUCCGUUUAUAUUCCUAGUUUUUUAAGCAUUUUUAUGACAUAUUUUGAUUUUCAUUUUAUUCACUCAUAUAUAGGGCAUGUAGGGUUUAAGAUAU